This 316-nucleotide ribosomal RNA is filed under the name Minotetrastichus frontalis. Its description in RNAcentral is "eukaryotic LSU rRNA". Lineage: Eukaryota; Metazoa; Arthropoda; Insecta; Hymenoptera; Eulophidae. The record is from RNAcentral.
AGAACUUUGAAGAGAGAGUUCAAGAGUACGUGAAACCGUUCAGGGGUAAACCUGAGAAACCCAAAAGAUCGAAUGGGGAGAUUCAUCGUCAGCGGUGUUGGCUUCCGUGCGGCUCGCGAUGGCCGGGACUUCGGUCUCGCGUCACGCGGUCGCCGCGGCAUGCCCGGCAUCGUCGGCGUGCACUUCUCCCCUAGUAGGACGUCGCGACCCGUUGGGUGUCGGAUCAAUGGCCGGUCGGUCGUCUGUUGCGCCUCGGCGCGGCAGACCGAUCGGUCCGUCGUCCGGCUGCCCGGCGGUAUAGAACGCUUAAUCACGG